GUCCUCGUAGUUCAGCGGAGAGAACGCGACCCUGCGAAGGUCGAGGUCACAGGUUCAAAUCCUGUCGAGGACGCCA
RNAcentral lists this transfer RNA (76 nucleotides) under Capsulimonas corticalis. RNAcentral's name for it is "tRNA-Arg". It matches the Rfam family "tRNA". From Rfam's summary of the family: Transfer RNA (tRNA) molecules are approximately 80 nucleotides in length. Their secondary structure includes four short double-helical elements and three loops (D, anti-codon, and T loops). The record is from RNAcentral. Lineage: Bacteria; Bacillati; Armatimonadota; Armatimonadia; Capsulimonadales; Capsulimonadaceae.